RNAcentral lists this ribosomal RNA (440 nucleotides) under uncultured bacterium. RNAcentral's name for it is "partial 16S ribosomal RNA". It matches the Rfam family "Bacterial small subunit ribosomal RNA", at positions 338 to 795 of the family's 1533-position model. The record is from RNAcentral.
CCUACGGGAGGCAGCAGUGGGGAAUAUUGCACAAUGGGCGAAACCCUGAUGCAGCGACGCCGCGUGAGUGAAGAAGUAAUUCGUUAUGUAAAGCUCUAUCAGCAGGGAAGAAAAUGACGGUACCUGAGUAAGAAGCACCGGCUAACUACGUGCCAGCAGCCGCGGUAAUACGGAGGGCGCAAGCGUUAUCCGGAUUUACUGGGGGUAAAGGGAGCGUAGACGGCAGUGCAAGUCUGGGGUGAAAGGCGGGGGGUCAACCCCCGGACUGCUCUGGAAACUGGACGGCUGGAGUGCAGGAGAGGUAAGUGGAAUUCCUGGUGUAGCGGUGAAAUGCGUAGAUAUUAGGAGGAACACCAGUGGCGAAGGCGGCUUACUGGAAUGUAACUGACGUUGAGGCUCGAAAGCGUGGGGAGCAAACAGGAUUAGAUACCCGAGUAGUC